This 592-nucleotide ribosomal RNA is filed under the name Salmonella enterica subsp. enterica serovar Stanley. Its description in RNAcentral is "partial 23S ribosomal RNA". It matches the Rfam family "Bacterial large subunit ribosomal RNA", at positions 1141 to 1733 of the family's 2925-position model. Lineage: Bacteria; Pseudomonadati; Pseudomonadota; Gammaproteobacteria; Enterobacterales; Enterobacteriaceae. The record is from RNAcentral.
CUCACUGGUCGAGUCGGCCUGCGCGGAAGAUGUAACGGGGCUAAACCAUGCACCGAAGCUGCGGCAGCGACACUGUGUGUUGUUGGGUAGGGGAGCGUUCUGUAAGCCUGUGAAGGUGUGUCGUGAGGCAUGCUGGAGGUAUCAGAAGUGCGAAUGCUGACAUAAGUAACGAUAAAGCGGGUGAAAAGCCCGCUCGCCGGAAGACCAAGGGUUCCUGUCCAACGUUAAUCGGGGCAGGGUGAGUCGACCCCUAAGGCGAGGCCGAAAGGCGUAGUCGAUGGGAAACGGGUUAAUAUUCCCGUACUUGGUGUUACUGCGAAGGGGGGACGGAGAAGGCUAUGUUGGCCGGGCGACGGUUGUCCCGGUUUAAGCGUGUAGGUGUGUGUUCCAGGUAAAUCCGGUUCACUUUAACACUGAGGCGUGACGACGAGGCACUACGGUGCUGAAGCAACAAAUGCCCUGCUUCCAGGAAAAGCCUCUAAGCAUCAGGUAACAUCAAAUCGUACCCCAAACCGACACAGGUGGUCAGGUAGAGAAUACCAAGGCGCUUGAGAGAACUCGGGUGAAGGAACUAGGCAAAAUGGUGCCGUAA